RNAcentral lists this unclassified non-coding RNA (230 nucleotides) under Hevea brasiliensis (rubber tree). The record is from RNAcentral. Lineage: Eukaryota; Viridiplantae; Streptophyta; Magnoliopsida; Malpighiales; Euphorbiaceae.
AAACAUUAAAAAAAAAAAAAAAAGUUCAUCACUGGCAGCUUGAGCUGUAUCAGAUUGUACCUUUUCUUUUGAUUCCAGUUUUCUCGCUCAAUGUGUUAAUAAAAUGGUCCAUGUAUAAUAAAACCAAGCAACCAAGUUUGUGUUCAUGCCUGAAAGAGACUACAUUGAACAAAAUUUGCUCAUUUAUCGUGCAAGGCUCAGAAUCGUUAAUGUUAGGCAAAAUGGUGGAU